AGUCUCGUUCGUUAUCGGAAUGAGAACAAUUCAAAUCCUUUAACGAGGAUCUAGCGGAGGGCAAGUCUGGUGCCAGCAGCCGCGGUAAUUCCAGCUCCGCAGGUGUAUAUCUAUGCUGCUGCGGUUAAAAAGCUCGUAGUUGGAUCUGCGUGCUCGGAACUGGUUGGCUCACUGAGUUCAAACUGGUCUCCGGCGCUUUAUUGGCUGGUUUUCCCUUGAUGCUCUUAACCGGGUGUCUUGGGUGGCUAGCACGUUUACUUUGAAAAAAUUAGAGUGCUCAAUACAGGCGUAAAGCCUUGAAUAGUGGUGCAUGGAAUAAUAGAAUAGGACCUCGGCUCUAUUUUGUUGGUUUUCGGAACGCGAGGUAAUGAUUAAGAGGGACAGACGGGGGCAUUCGUAUUGCGACGUUAGAGGUGAAAUUCUUGGAUCGUCGCAGGACGGACGACUGCGAAAGCAUUUGCCAAGAAUGUUUUCAUUAAUCAAGAACGAAAGUUAGAGGUUCGAAGGCGAUCAGAUACCGCCCUAGUUCUAACCGUAAACGAUGCCAACUAGCGAUUCGCAGGCGUUAAACAACGACCUUGCGGGCAGCUUCCCGGAAACGAAAGUGUUCGGGUUCCGGGGGAAGUAUGGUUGCAAAGCUGAAACUUAAAGGAAUUGACGGAAGGGCACCACCAGGAGUGGAGCCUGCGGCUUAAUUUGACCCAACACGGGAAAACUCACCCGGCCCGGACACCGUAAGGAUUGACAGAUUGAGAGCUCUUUCUUGAUUCAGUGGGUGGUGGUGCAUGGCCGUUCUUAGUUGGUGGAGCGAUUUGUCUGGUUUAUUCCGAUAACGAACGAGACUCUGGCCUACUAAAUAGUGGGCGGAUUCUUUCUGUCCGCAACACUUCUUAGAGGGACAAGCGGUGUUCAGCCGCACGAGAUUGAGCAAUAACAGGUCUGUGAUGCCCUUAGAUGUCCGGGGCUGCGCGCGCGCUACACUGAAGGAAUCAGCGUGCUUUCUGACCUUGCCCGAAAGGGCUGGGUAACCCGAUGAAAAUCCUUCGUGAUUGGGAUAGGGACUUGCAAUUAUUUCCCUUGAACGAGGAAUUCCCAGUAAGUGUGGGUCAUAAGCUCGCGUUGAUUACGUCCCUGCCCUUUGUACACACCGCCCGUCGCUGCCCGGAACUGAGCCGUUUCGAGAAGAACAGGGACCGUCGUUGAAGGGCCUUAAUGGGCUUUUCUCUGAUAGAAACUGUUUUA
RNAcentral lists this ribosomal RNA (1242 nucleotides) under metagenome. RNAcentral describes it as "SSU rRNA". It matches the Rfam family "Eukaryotic small subunit ribosomal RNA", at positions 495 to 1761 of the family's 1831-position model. The record is from RNAcentral.